Molecule: long non-coding RNA, 1163 nt
Organism: Bubalus bubalis (water buffalo)
Lineage: Eukaryota; Metazoa; Chordata; Mammalia; Artiodactyla; Bovidae
Exons: 2
Source: RefSeq, a predicted model, not a curated record
AACCUGCAAGCAAAGAGUAGAGGCUGCAGGGAUCCCUGAGCUGCAGCAGUGCCCCCUGGUGGGAUUGGGGGGGGAGGGCCUUGAACUGCAGAUAAAUUUAGUAACAAGCAAGUGCCAGAGGAUGGUGGAGUCAGCAGGUUGUACAGGACCCACCCUCCCUCCCGGCACUAGGCUGAGAAGCUGACAGCCCAACUUUUGCAGAGAUACUGAUGAUGCCCAACAUCUACUUCCCUCCAAUCUCCUGUCCAUUCUCUGCUCUGUUUACUGACAGGGAAUAGUACCAGCAGAAAUGCCUUAUCUAGUCUUGUUUUCUGUUUGUGUCAAGGACAAACAUUUCUGUGAUUUCCUUGCUUCAGGGACCAUGUCUUGGACCCUGUGCAUCCCCAUCCAAAAGAUAGUAACACCAGGCUUUUGGGAAGGAGUCCAUGAAGUGGAAAGGCCGGGAUCACCUCUUCCAGUGCAUUCAUCUGCAUGGUCCUGAUCCCUGCCAGCAGUUUAUGUUGACAUGGGCAUCAGUAAUGGGAGCCAGAGACUCAAAAGAUGCUCCAAAGGCACAGACCAGUGACCUGAAGCCACUGAGGAGAGAGCCUGUCCUUCUCUCAAUACUGGGAAAUGUCUGAUAAAUAUUUUUAUCAUGUUAAAGUAAACAUGCAUGAGGGUCGAUUUCACUCAUCUAUUUGCCAGUUACUUCACCAAAACUGUACUUCUGGCUGGUAUGUGUGUCGCCCAAAUCAGUCAACAUCCCUGGAUCCCAACUCACCUGCGAGACUCCGAGUCUCUCGACUUCCUCGACUCUUUGACUUCAUCAAAGGACACAACAGACCGCUUCUCUCUGCUGGCCGAUUUGCGAUCCUGGCUCUUAGACACCUGGUUCACCAAGAAGCAUUGACAAGUUAAACCAGGAAGAAUCAACUGUGUCCAGGUCCAAGCAUCCAAGAUCAGAAAUGAAGCUGAACAGCAAAUGAAAUAAUCAGGUAACACUGUAUUCUCUCUGGAGAAACCUCACCUUGGCUCACCAAAAUCCAGACUCAUAGACUCACUACCAAGCUAGUAGUGAGCUUGGUACUCAAUGGAUUCAAUUGCCUAACUUCAGUAGUCAACAUUGAAAAGAGGAUUUUCUCAGAAACUUCAUUUAAGAUUAAAAAAAAACAAAAAACAAAAAA